RNAcentral lists this ribosomal RNA (453 nucleotides) under Ctenopelmatinae sp. CNC 422367. Its description in RNAcentral is "partial 28S ribosomal RNA". Lineage: Eukaryota; Metazoa; Arthropoda; Insecta; Hymenoptera; Ichneumonidae. The record is from RNAcentral.
CCUGAGAAACCCAAAAGAUCGAAUGGGGAGAUUCAUCGUCAGCGAUCCUAGCACGUGUGCGAUUCGUGAUGCCGGAGUCUUCGGACUCGCGGCACACGUUCGCAUGGUUUUAUUGCCGGGUGUCGUCGGCGUGCACUUCUCCCCUAGUAGGACGUCGCGACCCGUUGGGUGUCGGUCUACGGCCCGAGUGGGCGCCUGUCAUGUGUCACGCUUCGCGGCGUCAUGUGGCAGACCCUCGGUUGUCUGACCAGCUGCUCGGCGGUACUCGUACGGUAUCGAGUCGCAAUUAUUCGAACUGCGUCCGGCCCGCCGCAAGCGAGGUCAGUGUUUCCCGGAUGUACGGACCUGGUGCCGUCACCGGGCCUGGCCCGCUGUUGGUUGGUGGUGUCCUGGGACUGGCUCUUAAAAUUAUGAUACCGGUCGGCGACGCUACUGCUUUGGGUACUUUCAGGA